This is a long non-coding RNA of Neofelis nebulosa (Clouded leopard), 1521 nucleotides long. RefSeq lists it as uncharacterized. The transcript is spliced from 2 exons. NCBI's taxonomy places the organism in Eukaryota, Metazoa, Chordata, Mammalia, Carnivora, Felidae. The record is from RefSeq and is a predicted model, not a curated record.
UCUCCACCUAGGGCACAGAGCAGAGCAGGACGCGCGUCCCUCACUCCACGCGGCAGACGCCACGUCCGUCCCCCAAGAACCCCCUCUGGGAGCCGACGGCCCGCGGCUCCGCGGCCCCGUUCCCCGCUCGGCCGGGUCAGGGCAGCGUCUGAGGAUCUAACAUCCCGCCAAGAGGUCUUGCGAGAGCCACCCGCACCCACACUCCCCGCGGGAAAGCGCACACGUGCCUGCAGACACGGCGGCACGGGACGCCACGGCUCCGCGGGCCCAAGCGUGAACUCCGCGGUAGGAAGCCCUGCUCUGGGGUCGGUUAAGCAUCAGACUUCCGGUCGGGUCACGCUCUCACGGUUUGUGAGACGGAGCCCGCAUCGGGUGAGCCCCGCUUCUCUCUCUCUCCGCCUCUGUCCCUCAUGAGAUUCUCUCUGCCCCUCGCUCGCUCGUCCUCUCGCUCUCAAAAGAAACAAAACAAAAACCUGUUCUGUGACAUUAAUGGCAAAUUGGCACAAAAAUUAACAGCUAACUCGGCAGUGGCACCUCGCGUUACGUCCGAUGAAUGCUGCGCUUCAUUAAAAAUGCAUCCUUGCCAACAAUGCCUGUUACCCUUAUUUGCUGUUCUCUAUAAUUAUAAACUCUUGGAUGCUCCCUGUAUUUAGAUGAAGAAUCCUUUUGGUAGAAAUGCCCGUUCGGGCGACCGUCGGAAAGAGAACAGCGGAAGCGAAGUGUAUGGCAACGUUCAGAAGACCGUAUGUGCAUCUGGGUAGAGGUGUCCUAAUGGGCGCCCGGCUUCCCACUCAGGCUCAGCUCCCAGGCGGGGAACCACCCGACCCGCCUCUGGAUGCUCAUCACGGGUCUGGAGCCCGGUGUCUCCGUACCCGACGAGGAUGCGCGAGCGAUCGGAAAGCGUGGCUACGGCCCAACGGCAAGAGACCGAGAUCGUGGCAAGAGGACUCCAGCGUCCCCGCGCGUGAAUCGAGGGCUGGGCGAAUGCAUCUCUGGGACGCUCUCCUAGGACUCUGACCUCAGACUUUCGGGCAGUUCACUAAGUGGCUAAUCGGAAAUUCUUCCGUGAGUUUUGGGUUUCCACACACGCUUGACGCACUUUUCUUCACGCAACAAAACCAGACCUGUUCCGCACAGCAAGUAUUUUCUAUAGUCCUAUUUUCCCACGGGCCUUCGUCAAGUGGUCCCACAGCACAAUAAAUCUCGUGACCUUAAAACACAGUAACGUCAAACUCGGUAUUUUAAGAAGUCCGUUCAAAGAAAACACAUUCCAGAAAAUGUGAUACUUGCUCCUUGCGGAUAUCCCCGCCCCAUACGAACCGUCCAAGAUCCCCUUUCUCAAACGUCUGCUUUUCGGAGAGUUUUCGCUCUUCUCGGUAACAUGCCACCGCCAUCACUGAGCCGGGACGCGCAGCGUGUUGCUUCUUCCUCUUCGAGGCUCUGCCAAAGGGCCUCUUUUUUCCUGCGUCCUUCUCCCCGCUCCCCCCAGCCAUCUGGAAUAAACCACCUUCUUUCUCCUCA